AUUCUGGUGUCCUAGGCGUGGAGGAACCACACCAAUCCAUCCCGAACUUGGUGGUUAAACUCUACUGCGGUGACGAUACUGUAGGGGAAGCCCUGCGGAAAAAUAGCUCGACGCCAGGAUGAUAAAAAGCUUAACGCCUC
RNAcentral lists this ribosomal RNA (140 nucleotides) under Cycas revoluta. Lineage: Eukaryota; Viridiplantae; Streptophyta; Cycadopsida; Cycadales; Cycadaceae. The record is from RNAcentral. RNAcentral also lists the same sequence under 1 other name.